Molecule: small RNA, 494 nt
Filed under: Pan troglodytes (chimpanzee)
Lineage: Eukaryota; Metazoa; Chordata; Mammalia; Primates; Hominidae
Description: processed transcript
Source: RNAcentral
CACACCCUGGCAUCCACCUUUCCUCCUCUUCCAAGACACCAGCCUGGCAGCUGCGAUUCAGCCACCUCGUGGGGUAUGGUGCUAAAUAUUACUCUUACCUCAUGUCCAGAGCGGUCGCCUCCAUGGUUUGGAAGGAGUGUUUUCUACAGGAUCCCUUCAACAGGGCUGCCGGGGAGCGCUAUCGCAGGGAGAUGCUGGCCCACGGUGGAGGCAGGGAGCCCAUGCUCAUGGUUGAAGGUAUGCUUCAGAAGUGUCCUUCUGUUGAUGACUUCGUAAGUGCCCUCGUUUCCGACUUGGAUCUGGACUUCGAAACUUUCCUCAUGGAUUCUGAAUAAAAGAAACACUCUACACCUCUUAAAUCAAGGUCAUGUAGAUAAUGACUUUGUUAUAAAUGCUACAGCUGUGAGAGCUUGUUUCUGAUUUCAUUGUUCGCUUCUGUAAUUCUGAAAAACUUUAAACUGGUAGAACUUGGAAUAAAUAAUUUGUUUUAAUUA